CCCCUUCUCCUCCUCCUCCUUCUCUCAGCCUCUCUCUCACCUCUUUCCAAUGCCUAGUGCUAUCAUCCAUAUCAAUUUUUCUUCUUCUACAGUCACUUGUCUUUACAGCAAAAGACUACUAGGAUGAUGAUAAUGGUAAUGAUGAUGAUGUUGAGGAGAUGGAGAAGGGAAGAAGGAGAAGGAGGAGAGAAAAAAAAAGAGAAAGGAGAUACAUUGCAGAAUCUAUUUUGCAUAUCGUGCACCAACUUCUGCCAGUCAAAAACUUGCUAGAUCUAGUUUUGUUUAGAUAAGAGUCGGGUUCAAAGUGGUGUGGGUGGUUUGAGUGAUGAGCAGUGGUUAUCGUGGAGAUGGAGGGCGUGAAGAAAGCUUAGCAGAUUGGCACCAGAAAGAGAGAAGAGUGGCCGUGGGACGGUGAAGGAGUGAAGUGUGUUGUGUAUCCAUUGAAAGGCAGUGGCGUGGGUUUGACUUGCUCCUCGGCUCAGCACUCGCCCUCAAGAUUACGUCACUAAAGCCCAGGUCAGAGUACGUUGUGCGAGUGUAAGGCAAAGGAAGUGGGCGUCGUUCAUAUGACAGAUUCCCACAUUAUCUUUCUAGCCUUUGAAAAUCGUCGUGGUGAGAAAGCAACUACUUUCUAAAGGCCUUAUUUGAAGUUACAGGUGUUCUCAAAGGUGUUUCUUGGUUCUAGUGUCAAAUGAACAAGAUCUCCACAUUAUUAAUAGCCUUGACAACCCGGCUAAAUGUCUCUGGUCUUUAUGUCGUUGUGAAAGAGCAAAGCGCCUGUUAGUUAUUGUGAAUGUGACUAAAGGGUUCCGCGGAGCAACUUAUAUACACUGACAAAAAAAAGUAUGAGCUCUAAUACCUUUGCAAGACAGAGACAGAGCUAAGGACUGUACACUAGAUAUAUAAACACAGAAAAAGAGGUGACCCGGACUAAAUGACAAGGACUGAUAACCAUAAGAGAGCCUCCCUAUGUGUCCGGUUCCUCGUUAUCCUCAAUACCUCUGUGGCUUGUGACUGUUCAGAAAGAGGCCGAAAGUGUAGUGUGAGUGAAUGCGUCGUCAGCAAGAUGGUGUCUAUGGGAAAUGGUGGUGUGAUGAAGUGUAGCUAUCAGUGUGCACCUGAACAAAGAAAAUUAAUUCUAAGACUGCUUAAGUGCUUCUGUCAUCCAUAUCAA
Long non-coding RNA from Portunus trituberculatus (swimming crab), 1174 nucleotides. RefSeq lists it as uncharacterized. NCBI's taxonomy places the organism in Eukaryota, Metazoa, Arthropoda, Malacostraca, Decapoda, Portunidae. The transcript has 2 exons. The record is from RefSeq and is a predicted model, not a curated record.